This 194-nucleotide ribosomal RNA is filed under the name uncultured bacterium. RNAcentral's name for it is "partial 16S ribosomal RNA". It matches the Rfam family "Bacterial small subunit ribosomal RNA", at positions 338 to 524 of the family's 1533-position model. The record is from RNAcentral.
CCUACGGGAGGCAGCAGUAGGGAAUCUUCGGCAAUGGGCGAAAGCCUGACCGAGCAACGCCGCGUGAGCGAUGAAGGCCUUCGGGUCGUAAAGCUCUGUUGUUAGAGAAGAACAAGUACGAGAGUAACUGCUCGUACCUUGACGGUACCUAACCAGAAAGCCACGGCUAACUACGUGCCAGCAGCCGCGGUAAU